GACGACAAACGUAAAACCCAUGUUGUGCAUGCAAAUGUAAAUAUAUUAUGCCAGUAAUCUACAUGGAUUUAAAAUUAAAAUUAACGUGACUACACCAGCUGUUGUAAGCGUAAUCCCCGCAAAAUUCAAAGUCAAAAUGGCGGCAGCGAUGCCGGCCCAAACAAACGCUGUUUCCGGACUUCUUUUUCUUCUCUUUUUUCAUCGAAAAACAAUCAGUAUUAAUUCAUACAUGUCAACAAUCUGUCAAAUUUCCUCAUUACAGUAAACCCUGUGAAUCACUCUCAACCAGAAUGUGCAUCCACUCGUAUGAUAAUUAGGGAUAAAGAUGGUUUGCAUUCUGAUGCUGGACAUACUAGUGUGUUAAUGUUGGCAAAUAAGAAAAAGAUAAGAUGCAGGUCCACCCCUCAGCCCCCCUCAACAGACCCUCCCUUGCAACUCAAACCACCAAGAAUGCAACAACUUUAUAGAGAUGUAGCAGGGGAGCACGAGACAAGCAAGGGCAGCUCUCGUUCCCAGGAUCCUGCUGACCUGCACCCGAACAGGCCGGCUCCACGCGGACCUGUCUGUCCACAGACAUGGCCACCGACUGUGUGGUCCCGUCCAGCGAGGUGUGCGAUAGACAUAGCUGAUAUCAAUAGCAGGGACAGCAUCAUCAAUCAGGGCUUGUCCCGUGGAGGGGUGAGUGUGUGUCUAUCUGUAUGUGUGUGUGUGUUAAGAAGCUCUUUUCCAUCCACAUCUUUUUAUGAUCCUGCACUGGGUCUUUUUUUUGUGAUAAAAAAAAGUAUUGCAUAUAUUCAUUAAAAAUCAACCAUCCAUUACCAUCAAUAUACAUACACAUAUACAGUACACACAUGCCCAUACGUACUGUGAUGGCCCAGCCGGUGAGCAGUGCCCCACGUGGCGAGAAACAGCCAGGAGAGGGCCACCAAGAGGCAUGGUAAUGGAAGGGAGGUACUACCCCAGGUGUCACUGAGUUCCCCUCCCAGGUGUCGGUAAUCACGCAGGCAAUCAGGAGCCUGUUUUAAACCUUCCUCCCAGGAGACACGAGGGAGGAAGCGAGGGGGACAGUCGGAACGCAAGGAGGACAUCGGAACGCAAGGAGAGUGAGACCCAGCGAUAUUGCGCAGCAAAAGGAGUCUAACUAAAUAUAUUCUCUCUCUUCUGCACCAGGAGGAAUCUGGCGAAGCCCCGAUGUCGCUGGCCACCCCGGUGAAGAACUUUUGAGUUAUCGUUUUCUCACCCUUUUUCCCCCCUCCCCCCGUGGCAUUUUUUGAUAAUAAACCUUGGUUAAUUCCACCGUAACCCUGCUUGUUAUCUGCCUCUCUUCUCCCCUGGGACCUCUUGGCCUACCCCACGAGGUUGGGCGCUCACAGUACACAUAGGUACACAUGUAAUGUACCCAUGUACACGCGUACA
Long non-coding RNA from Gasterosteus aculeatus aculeatus (three-spined stickleback), 1416 nucleotides. The record is from Ensembl. NCBI's taxonomy places the organism in Eukaryota, Metazoa, Chordata, Actinopteri, Perciformes, Gasterosteidae.